CCUGCCAUCUCUCGAACAACAUGGAAAGGGGGCACAGGGCCGACACCAAAGGCCCCAAGGUGUAGGGAGGACCUUGACUCCUUCUGAAGCUCUCCUCACCCCUAAGUCUCCCCUCUUCCUUUCUUCCCUCUUAAACGGUUCUAGAUGUAGCGCUUCGUCCCAUUUUACUUUAGCUGCAUUUUUACCUCUGACUUGGGAUGACAGCCCAGCCCUUGUUUGCAUGAGCUUAUAAACACAAACUGGAAGUCUUUCUCAUUAACAUGCACGGGGCGGGGGGGUCUCAGAGAAAGGUGAGCCCUGCUGACGCGGCUUCAGCGCACUGCUGGCUCAUUUUUGCAGGGGCUGGACCUGCCUUCUUUUUCCACUAGGGCGUGAAAGCAAACCUUUGUUUUCUUAACGUAAAACACAGGCUGCUUCCACCGGAGCCAGGGUUGCGAAGCCUGCUUCCCAGCCCUCCUCUCCCUGCAGCUGGGGCCUCAGACAUCCACCUGCAGAUCCAGCCCACCUGCAGUUACUUCUCUGGAUUAAAGAAGGUCAAGGAAGAGAAAGAGCGCGGGCAUCGCUCCAGAAUCAGGUCCUGCCCUCAGGCCCCUGACUUGUGGGUUUUGUAGAGUUCCAGCCUCAUUUCCUGCCUUGGUUUUCAUUCUAGAAACAGAAUCUACACCUCAUACUGUGCCACCAUCCCAGCCUGGCUGCCCACAGAAUCCCCUAUAGCCAAGACUUUGUCCAUCCUUCCUUCAUCCUUCAGCGAGGUCUGCCGCCUUCUCCAAGCCUCAUCUUGGAUUCUCAGAUGCUGCAGCCUGCUAAGACUGUGAUUCAGGGCUUUUCCUGACAAACCCUACUUCCCAUCUGGAUCAGCCUGACCCAAGGGAGACAGGACCUCCUAGGCUGUACCCCACCCCUCUGCUGUGUUUAACUAAGCUAAGCCUGGACAAGAGGGGCAAAUUGAUUCAAAGAGAAAUAAAUGACCAAAAAGAAUAUGGUGCAUGGAUAGGGUUAAAAUCAUGAUGAUCCUUAAAGAACCAAAUUUUAGGAAACAGUGUUUUAUGGGACGAUGUCAUCAAAAUUUCUUGUGCACUAAGAUGAUGAACUUCUCUCUCUUCUUCUGUAUAAGGGGUCUAAGAUUGUCUGCCUGGGGUGGUCGUUGGAAAGGUCAGAAAAAAGGUAAGCAGAACACUAGCCCAGUUCCUGGUAUACACAUUCAUGAGGCAUUAUUGUAUUGUUAUUGUUGUGGUUGUGGUUGCAUAGCCCAUAAUCAGGGGAUGCACCUUUGCCUCUGUAUUUCCUACACAGCCUGGAGCCUUCAAGAGAGAUGCUCAUGCCUGGGGUCCCUGCUCAGGCUGUCAUUUGGUUCAAUAAUGCCGCAAAGGGGUAGGAGGCAGAGUGUGCAGAGGUAUCUCCCGGGAGAGCAGGAUCACCUCCCAGGCCUGACCCAGGUGCUCCAGCUUUUCGGAACACUAUUUCGCUUCAACACACCACAAGGGCUCAAAUGAAAUCAUCUGCAAUAGGAUAAAGGAUUCCUAAGGCAGGUAAUUCCGUAGACAUUUCCCCCAAGGUCAAAGCUCCUGGCAGCCAGGUGUACCCUCUCCCUUCAAGUGCGAUUAUGUCUGGGCUUAGCCAGAUGAAGUUGCAAAGUGCAGAAACCUGUGCAGUCUUAGAUCACCCCAGUCGAUUUUGCAGCGAUCAUUGUCUGAGUUAGCUAAUGGCAGGGUACGAGGACCUCCCACUGAGAUUCCAUUACCUUGUAAUUUUCAGCUUGUUCACUGUUGCAAUAAAGCCCUCUGUCUUAUAAUUCCCCAGCAUUCUCGUCUCAUCUUCUCAAGAACUGAAGUAUGUAAGAUGCUUUCUGCUGGGGAUUCAUUGAGAUAAGUUAUUGAAGUCAAGCAGAGAGGCAGGCUUCCAGCACUCGGCUAUUCAUCUCAAAAUUUAUGUUCGUGCUUCCUUUUGAAGGUCUAAUGUAAUCACAAACAAUGCGCUUUCUGUAUGUUUAAAAAUUCAUAAGUUUCCCGUGCAAUGGAGGCGGAGGGUGAGGAACCCCCACCUUCAGGCUCAUUAGCAAUAGGAGGCUUGGAACAGCUGACUUGUUUUCGAUGUAAUUUCUACGGGACUGAGAUCCUGCUGUUAUUGAAAGCCAUUCAGUGGGGAGGAGGAACAAUGUCCACACAUCCUCAUUAACCUGGCCUGGGAAUCCGGCUGUGUGAUUGAUCUGCCAGAUGAUCUCUUUAUUUCUUGAAAACUGCUGCUCCCUCCCAUAUCUUGUUCUUUGGUCUCUGAGACAUGGCCCUUCUCCCCUCUCUGUGCACACAGGUGCCAUCCCAGUUCUGAACCUUAGCGUGGUCAUCUCAUUGGCCUCCCUGCCCAGGGCGGCCCCUCUCCAUUCCAGCCAGCUCACUGCUACCCUUCUGAUCCCCCCAGAACAGUGUUCUCCCCGAAGCUGCCACUGCAACAAGCCCUUUUAACUGCUAAGGGGAGAAGCAAACUGAAAUGCCUCAGAGUGUGCUUUGAGGCCCAACCACUCUGUCGCCCCUUGAAAUCCAGCGGCACAGGCCGUGAGAGCUGCCCUUGAGGGAGGCUCCAGGGAGGGAGCAGAGCAAGUCCCAGAGACCUGGGCUGCUGCUCCUCAAUCCAGCACUCUCCUCCACCAGACAGCUUCAAACAAAAGACUUGUGGAGUAUGAUUCAAGAGAAUGGAGGUUCUAAAGCCCAGCUUAUUCUAACACAGGUCACAAGACACUCCUAUUGAGAGGUGGGUCCCUGCGCUCCCCUUUUCAAUCUGUGAGGGCUUGUGUCUGCUCUGACUCACAGCAUAGGGCAAAAGUGACCAUGUGUGUCUUCUGAUGCUCUUGACUUGCUCUUAGAACUCUGAGGCUCCGUGUAAGAAGACUGACCGCCAUAUAAGAAAAGGCUACCAUGUUAUAAGAAAGCCCAAGCCACACAGAUAGGCCAUAUGUAAGUGUUUGGUUGAUAGUCUCAGCUGAGCCCAGCCUCUGAGGCAUCCUAUCCCCGGCACAGACUUGUGAGUACAGAAGCUUCCAGAUGUUCCAGCCCCCAACCAUUGGAGUCACACUCAACCAUUUAAAACUUCUCAGCUGAGCUCACAGACAUCAUGGAGCAGAGACAAUCCAUCCUCACUGUAUCUGUCCAAAUUUCUGCCCCACAGGAACCAUAAGCAUAGUGAAAGUUUGUGAUUUUCAUCCACUGAAUUUGGGAUGGUUAGCUGCACAGCAGUGGUUAAUGGAACGGAGAGAGAUGUUAAAAUUCCUCCCCCAUCCCUCUCCAGACAGGUCCUCUACGCAUAUUCUGGGUGCCUGAAAAAGUGCUGCCUCCCCCAAGGUUUCCAUAGGGGAAAAGCCCUGAGACCUUAUCGCUCAGAUUCUUCCCUCACUCAGCAGGGCAUGAGAAGACCUGGGGCUCAGGGCACACACAUCUUGACGAGGGCCUGAGUGGAUUGCAGCACAGAGAAGCCCCCAGGGGUGGGGGCUGUCCCGAGCCUGCAGUGGAGGGCCCCGGCAGCUGAUGCUGCAGCAGAGGCCUGGGCAGGAGCUGUGGGUGCAGAGGGAGAAAACCGGGCUAACGCAAGAGAUAGGCAGGAGCAUGCCAUAGAGCCGAGGUCAAUGGUAUCACCCAAAUACAUCUAGCUCAUUCAGCUCCUAAGUAUAAAAUAACCAAAUCUUCUAGAGAUCCUGAUUUCAACUCAAUUCUAUUCACGUAACAAGCACCCAGCAUCCAGGUCCGGGAGGAAAACAGAAUUGAAGAAGAUGCUGUAACCUCAAGUCGAUGGAAAUCUUUCUCUGCCCUGGGUCUCUGGAAAAUGCUAAGCAAUAUAGAACGAUAAAUAUAAAAGCCUUUGCAGAAAUCGCAGCCCUGGGAAGCCCAAGGCACAUUCUGCUUUACCAUUCUACCAAUUGCAGGGGUCUCUUACUUUGGAGGGGAGGGGUGAGGCUGUCCCCUCCCUGUGUGUCAAGCUCAGAGCAGAGCAGAGGGUCUCCGAGCACAAAUGCAGUCCUCCAAAGGAAACCUCGGCAACACCCUGUGGCUAAUCCCACCGCUUUGCCAGCUGGCUGCAAAGGAGAGCCUGGAAAAGCCUCGUUAAACCACACAAAGCCGGCCUAAGAAGCAACAAAGUGGGUUGCAGCUGCCUCGUGAGCCGGCUGCGCCUGAUUGCCUGUGAUCCCCACUCAGCUUGCGGCCAGCGCGCCUGCUGACACAGCCUGUUGUGUUGGAGACCUUAUUAUUGCAAAUUCCCUUUCCACCCCGCAGAUUCCUCGGAAAUUGCAAACAUGUCUGUUUUUGGCCAGCCCGCCUGGAAAGGUCACUGCCACAGCUAUUGGGCGCCACCGCCAUUUCACUCAUUCAGACACAUACAAACCGUAAUACUUGAGGUCGAAACAGUCACUUGCUGCUGCUUAAUACUGGCUAGACUCAGGCUGGGCCCUGGGCAGAGGCUGACAAGGCUUCGUCCCCACAAAGCGGUGACUCAAGUAUCCCUAGAGAUUCUCAUUUCGUUGAGCCGAUGUGAGUCUCUGGAUGCAGUAGUUUUUAAAGCUCCCUAGUUAAGAUAUGCACAGCAGUUUUGAGAACUACGGCCAUGAGAAGUGGGGCUAAUAGUUAUUGAUCACCUACUGUAUACCAGGCCGAAUAUACUACAAACUUUCUUGUUUCUUCCAUAAAACAGCUAUGAGUGAGGUAUUUCCUCCUUGGAGGAGUGAGGAAAUUAAAGUUUAGAGAAGUUAAAAGUG
Long non-coding RNA from Equus caballus (horse), 4738 nucleotides. The record is from Ensembl. NCBI's taxonomy places the organism in Eukaryota, Metazoa, Chordata, Mammalia, Perissodactyla, Equidae.